CGUGGGUAACCUGCCCAAGAGAUCGGGAUAACACCUGGAAACAGAUGCUAAUACCGGAUAACAACAGAUGAUGCCUAUCAACUGUUUAAAAGAUGGUUAUGCUAUCACUCUUGGAUGGACCUGCGGUGCAUUAGCUAGUUGGUAGGGUAACGGCCUACCAAGGCGAUGAUGCAUAGCCGAGUUGAGAGACUGAUCGGCCACAUUGGGACUGAGACACGGCCCAAACUCCUACGGGAGGCAGCAGUU
RNAcentral lists this ribosomal RNA (246 nucleotides) under uncultured Lactobacillus sp. Its description in RNAcentral is "partial 16S ribosomal RNA". It matches the Rfam family "Bacterial small subunit ribosomal RNA", at positions 116 to 355 of the family's 1533-position model. Lineage: Bacteria; Bacillati; Bacillota; Bacilli; Lactobacillales; Lactobacillaceae. The record is from RNAcentral.